AUUGAACGCUGGCGGCAGGCCUAACACAUGCAAGUCGAGCGGCAGCGGGAAAGUAGCUUGCUACUUUUGCCGGCGAGCGGCGGACGGGUGAGUAAUGCCUGGGGAUCUGCCCAGUCGAGGGGGAUAACAGUUGGAAACGACUGCUAAUACCGCAUACGCCCUACGGGGGAAAGCAGGGGACCUUCGGGCCUUGCGCGAUUGGAUGAACCCAGGUGGGAUUAGCUAGUUGGUGAGGUAAUGGCUCACCAAGGCGACGAUCCCUAGCUGGUCUGAGAGGAUGAUCAGCCACACUGGAACUGAGACACGGUCCAGACUCCUACGGGAGGCAGCAGUGGGGAAUAUUGCACAAUGGGGGAAACCCUGAUGCAGCCAUGCCGCGUGUGUGAAGAAGGCCUUCGGGUUGUAAAGCACUUUCAGCGAGGAGGAAA
This 428-nucleotide ribosomal RNA is filed under the name uncultured bacterium. Its description in RNAcentral is "bacterial SSU rRNA". It matches the Rfam family "Bacterial small subunit ribosomal RNA", at positions 29 to 450 of the family's 1533-position model. The record is from RNAcentral.